Molecule: non-coding RNA, 5805 nt
Organism: Salvelinus sp. IW2-2015
Lineage: Eukaryota; Metazoa; Chordata; Actinopteri; Salmoniformes; Salmonidae
Source: RefSeq, a predicted model, not a curated record
UUAACAACAAAUUCUUAUUUACAAUGCUGACCUUUCAAACACAUCAAUAAACAACACAUCAAUAAACAACAAUUACAGCAUGCAUAUAUCUAUAAACACAUCAAUUACACAAUACAUGAAAAUCAAACCCAAAACAGGAAAAACAAAACACAAUCAUAUGAAACAAACAUGCUUAAGUAAAAAGGCUGUCUACCAUCCGCCUGAAUUGCCCUAGAGGCACCAAAUCCACCCACUUUAUGAACAUUUGAAGAUCAUUCCACAUUGUAAGACUUGCUUUAAGCACAUAUGUCCCAUUUGUACUGUCUUGUAAUCAUGACAUAAUGAUCCUGACUUAAUGACAGUCUAUUUGAGUCAUUGGAAAUCUCCUACAUAACAUAGCCUUGUAAUAAGACAUUAUAAAGCCUCAUACAUGCUUAUAACACGUUAUAAUGCAUUAUACCUGCAGAUUUUAAGUAAAGAGUUACCGCUUAUGCAUGUGUAUUGGCACUGGCAGUCGUAGAUGUCUAGAGUUAUGUGUAGAGACAUGUCUAAUGAUUUUUCUAUCUGCCUCUACUCAGACCCCAGAAGAGCACAUAACUGGUAUCUUGGGCAGGAUUGGGAGCUGGUUCUCGCCCUGGAGAGGAAAAGGGAGCCUCACGAGUCCCAGUGACCAUGCUUCUCUGUCCCCGACGGACGACCAAGGCCCCAGGCCAGAAGGAGAGGGGGCCCAGGAGGAGCCUGUGGGGGAAGAAGAGGAGCAGCAGGAGGAGGGACAGGAUUCCCAGCCUUCCAAAUGGCAUCUCUCCAGGGAUUUUGAGGUGACGGAUGCCAGAACUUCUACCCACAGGGACCGGCCCCUCUCUGCAGCCAGCAGCCACAGUGAGCUGGAAGGAUAAGGAGAAGGACAAGGAGAAGGUCCUAGGGAGGAGGAGUGGUGGAGUGCCUCACAGAGAGAGGAGGAGGGGAGCAGCAGAGCGAGCGGGAAUCCUGCCCCGGAGUGAAAUGCCAGCCAUCUGUGAUUUGUGCUUUCAUCCGCCCCUGAAGAGGGAGCAGCCUGGGAGGACUCUGACCGGCGGGAACACUCCCAAGCUCACACACACCCAGGCCCAGCCUCAAGCCCAAGUCCAGGCAGGCAAGAGGCUGCAUGUGUACCUGGAGGAGACAAGGGUGAGCCAGAGCGGAACGUACACCCACACAAAGCAGGAAGUGCUCCUUACUAACAACACCAGGGUGAAGAAAAGUAUUUCCAGAGCUAAGUCAUCCAAGAGUGCUGAUUUGUCAGCAAAGAACACCAGUACAGAGGAGAGGACCGAGCAGCGCAAAGUCAGGACCUGUCUCAAAGCUGCUAUCGGCGUAAAAUGUCAUAGCAAUUACAGUSCCCUGCUAGGAGUGUCACUGAAGUUGCACACAAAAACACUGAGGGCUAUUGCUGACACAGCCAGUGAUACAGUCACAGUCACAGACAGAGACACAGACACGAUGGGGCGUAAGAACUCAGCAAGGAGGCGAUCCAGGAAGAGCUCCUUCGAAGACGGAGGAGGAGCCAGUUCUCAGGAGAACACGCCCACCAAAACCCAGCCUGCACCCGAGAUCUCAUCUACAUCCUCAGAUAAUAACACACCUACACCUGGAGACUCCACCCCCUGGAGACUCCACCCCCUCCUCCUCUAAAGACAAACAUGCCUCAGUGAUCUCAACUGCGGCAGGUAAGCAGGGGUCAACCACCUCCAGUGGCGUUCCAACGGAAACACAUCCAAGGAAGGGAGUAGAGGAAGCCCAGGAGGCCCUAGAUGCACCUGUAUAUGCCAUCUUAGCGGCUGAGGAAGGGGACAUGGACGUACACAUGCUCAACAACACUAGCCCGUGCCAGCUGGAGAGGCGCACGGAGAGUGCAGAGUCCAAACGGCGGAGCAUGAAGGUAUCACACAGUGAGGUUACGUUUUUUUGCGAAGAAAGUGAUGGUGAACUCAGAGAAGGAUACAGAAGUUAAGGAUACGGCUAAGGAAAAGGGGAAGAUCACCUGAUCUGAAGAAAGUGGGCGAGUAACCCAAGACCACUAAGGCUAUCGUGCGGAUUGCAGAAAGGAUCACCCUUUUUGAGGGAAAAGUGCCAAGGGUUGCCAGUCCCAGUAAGUCCAACCCCAGAAGCGUAGACGUUUCUCCUGCCAGAAAGGUCCCAGAGCGGCUAAGAACAGAUGUAAACAGAGAGCUCGGGUUGCCAGAUCAGCGGGCAACAUUGGUGGAACGUGGCAACGCCAGGUCCAGCUCGACCCCCUCUCUGUCCGGGAGAAACGAAAGAGGGUCCGGGAGUGGGCGAAGAACUUUGCAGAGGCUCACAAGAUGGAAGAUAAAACAAAGCUGACUCACAAGUCCUCUGGGAUGGCUGGAAUGUUACAAAAUGCUACUGCUUCUCCCACUUGUGCUGUGUCAAAGACAACUAAGUAGGACAUUCAGGGAAAACUGGCCAGCGCAGAGAAGACUCCUAAUCGGACCCCCCCGAAGGCAGAGAUAAUAUCAAAACCAGCAGAGCCAGAUACCACCACAGUAGCCGCCGUACCAGUUCCUCAAGCAUAUCAGAUAGACUCUAAAACAAAGGACAAAGAGGCUACUAAAACAGUGGAGCUACCAAGGAGACCUAUCAAUAUUGACCUAAAUUCUUUAAGCCAGCUGACCCCUCAGGUGGCCUCAACCAAUAAGGUCAGCCUCCAGCCCAAAGUCCAUGGAACACAAAACUCCAGGUCCAAGAGACAGAAAAGCAAAGAAGGGGAGGCAGCCAAUCCCCAGAGUCAGAGCAGUGACAUAAAACAGGAAGUGUUGAACACUGAGCAGGAAGUGGUCAACAGCAAACUGGAGGAGGCAGGCACCACAAAGAAAAUAGCCACGGCCUCUGAGCAGGAAGUUAAGACAGUCACAUCGCCACAAUCUAGUCAAUAUGUAGAAGUUAAAUCAGAUGUUGAAAAACAAUCUGUCAGUGAAAACAGCGAGCAAACAGACAAUAAAACUGAAAGUAAACAAGAAGUAACAGGCACAACAAAGAAAAUGUCUGCUGCAUCUGAGCAGGAAGUGAAGACAGUCACAUCGCCACAAUCUAGUCAAUCUGUAGAUGUUAAAUCAGAUUUAAAAAAGAGUCAGUUAGAGAAAACAGCAAUCAAGCAGUCAGUAAAAAGCCAGCGACCUCAAACAAGCAGGCAAUUCUAACGGAAUCACCCACACCUCUAAACGUCAACAAAGACAAUAAAAUGUCUACUUCUGAUCCUAUCAGUAUAAGAAAAGAGCCCAAUGUUAAAACUGUAGACAUUCUACCCUCACAUACUGUAGUUCUAAGGGAAAGAAGGCUGAGUGGGGCAUCUCUGGGGAGACCUCUACGGUUAAGACAAAUCAAAAUGUUUCCAAGGAAAAUAGCAAAACAUAUCUGCCCUCACAUUUGCCUAAGAAAUAACAGCCUCCUGCUCAAGAUCCCACUCCUGUGGAGCAAGGCCCACCUGUCCCACACAUUCAAGUCGACAAUAAACCAAAGCAGCCUGAAAAGAAAGCAGCAGAAAUGUUAAAGCAGCCUAAUAAAAAGACAGAUACAAAGACAGAUUUGCCUUUAGGCACUAGACAUGACACCCGGGGACAGUCGCCAGCAAUGUUAAGAGCAAAGAGGACCCCAAGCUUAUUACAGAGCUAUACAUAUCCAAAUCAGUGUUGAAACAGACAGACCCAGCUGUCCAACCCUCUAUAACUCCUAUUAAACCUCCAGCCUCACUACGGCCUCCCACACAGCCCGUCGGUCAGACGCCUUCUCAGUCAGAUAAAACUGUCGGUAGUGUAGUCACACAAAUUUAAAAGUCAGCAAAGGGAAAAUACAAUGAUACAUGUGCAGUUGAGCCCCAUAAGGAAGGGUUGUCUARGCAUGUGCCUGAGCAGAAAACUACAGUAUUAGAACACAGUAUACUACCAUCAGAACACAGUAUUAAAAAAAGCAGCAAACCAAAGCCUCAAAGCAGCCACAGUCUGUAAAGUCAUCUGAGGCUAAAACAGAUAAACCUAGCAAUGACACACCGACACAGGGAGUGAGUCCUACCCCAGAACCAACGCCCUCGAAGCCUAGUAUUACAGUGCCAGUAGCAGGGAAGGACACCACUGUAAAAUCAGAAACCAAUGCCUCAAAACCUUCAUCGGGUUCUACCCAGAAGUUUUCGGAAACCAAAGACCCAGGACAGACAAGGGGUCAGGGGGAGAAAUAACCUCUGGUCCCAGUGAAGAGGCCUCUACUUGCACCAAACACGAAGAGCAGUGAGGGGCCAGGGCUGGAUGUUGGGAAGGAGAGCUCCAUUGUAAAGACUGAAGCCCCAGAGGUGACAAAAUCUGAGGAUGUGAAGGAGAGGAAAGCUCUGCCAAGCCAAUCACAAAGUGAGGACAGAGAAAAGACAGUGACAUUGCCCUACGGAAAGCUGGCAGAGGGUAAAGGGGAGGCACCACAAAUGGCACCCUAUUCCUUAUGUAGUGCACUACUUUUGACCGUGACUCAUAGGGCUGUAGAGAAUAGGGGGCCUUUUGGGACGUUGCAUUGUGUUGUCGAAGACAUCUGCUUCAGAGAGUGAGAAUGAAUGUGUUUCCUUCUCUUGAUGUUUUGAAGACAGUGUUGGUAGUGCUGUAGUGUAAUGGAAAUGUGCUUCUUCAAACAUAGAUCAAACCAACAAGCUUUAAAGCGAGGCAGAGACAGCAUUUUUCUUUUUUCUCUUGAUGCUUUGAAAUGACACAUGGUUGUCUUAUGUUAGAUGGUGUUGUUUGAGCAUUUCCUUUUCUCAUAAUGUUUUCUUCAAGAAAAUACAAAAUGCACACACUGCACAUUGUCUGUAUCACAUUAGUUUAUUGAGCUUGCGGUCUCCCAGCCUUCGUCAGAGUUUCUUAGAGAUGUUUUUUAUUUAUUAUUACAGAAUGGCCUCCCUUUUCCUAUGAUUUAGAUGGCGUUGUUUGAGAAUGCCCAGUUUAGCGGCCAGACCUAUGAAGUCUUCAGAGACGCGAUCGAUGCCACCCAGCUCCAACUGUCUCCUAUGAUUUCUGUGAAGGUGAUGAGAGGAUGCUGGGUGCUUUACGAGAGGCCUGGGUUCGAGGGGCGUUCAAUUGCCCUAGAGGUGGGGCCUAUUGAGCUGACCAAUGUUUGGGCAGAUACAGGGCCACCAGGUUCACACCCCAAUGUCGAUCCACCAAUGGUCAUCGGCUCCAUCUGACUGGUGGUAUGGUACAGUGCCUGGGUCUGUGUUCCCCUCUGUAGGACUACAGCAUCCCCCAUAUUGACCUGUUCACUGAGCCAGAGGGCCACGGCAGGCUAGCACCAUAUCGUGACGACACAGUACAGAUCGGCUCCUUCCGUAUCCCACAGAACACAGCUUCCAUCUGCCACGACUUCCGCCGAAGUCGGCUCCUCUCCUUGUUCGGGCGGCUUUCGCCGGUCCACGUCACCGGCUUUCUAGCCAUCACCGCUCCAUUWUUCAUGUAUCCGUUUGUUUUGUCUUGUUCCCUGCACACCUGGUUUUCAAUCAAUCCAAUCCCCAAUCAAUCCAUAUGUAUUUAUUCUUCUGUUCCCCAUCAUGUCUUUGUGUAAGAUUGUUUGUGUUACGUGUAUUUUGGAAUUGUGGAUAUUGUUACGCGCAUUACUUUUUCUCUAUGUUCCGUGUCUGGGUACAUUUUAUGUUACUUUGUGCUGUCAUUUUGGACCGGAAUAAAAAGUGUGCCUGUUCACUACACUCUGCUAUCCUGCACCUGACUUCGCCUCCAAUACACACUCCUAACACCAUCAAAGUCCACUCUGGGGUGUAAGUGUGCAUAUGAUUGUUUUAUU